RNAcentral lists this ribosomal RNA (180 nucleotides) under Cortinarius piceidisjungendus. Its description in RNAcentral is "partial 28S ribosomal RNA". It matches the Rfam family "Eukaryotic large subunit ribosomal RNA", at positions 1 to 174 of the family's 3401-position model. The record is from RNAcentral. Lineage: Eukaryota; Fungi; Basidiomycota; Agaricomycetes; Agaricales; Cortinariaceae.
AUGUGACCUCAAAUCAGGUAGGACUACCCGCUGAACUUAAGCAUAUCAAUAAGCGGAGGAAAAGAAACUAACAAGGAUUCCCCUAGUAACUGCGAGUGAAGCGGGAAAAGCUCAAAUUUAAAAUCUGAUGGUCUCUUGGCUGUCCGAGUUGUAAUCUAGAGAAGUGUUAUCCGCGCUGGA